RNAcentral lists this ribosomal RNA (1749 nucleotides) under feces metagenome. RNAcentral describes it as "bacterial LSU rRNA". It matches the Rfam family "Bacterial large subunit ribosomal RNA", at positions 156 to 1995 of the family's 2925-position model. The record is from RNAcentral.
GCAUGAAUAAAAUAGUGUAUGGAGGGGAACCGCCUGAACUGAAACAUCUAAGUAGGGCGAGGAAAAGAAAUCAACCGAGAUUCCGCAAGUAGUGGCGAGCGAAAGCGGAAGAGGCCAAACCAGGAGUAGAAAUACUUCUGGGGUUUAGGACUGCAUAAUCAAGAACAAACAUAGCUGAAUACGAUGGGAAGCGUAUCCGAAGAAGGUGAGAGACCUGUAAGCGAAAUGUGAGUUUAAGAGGCAGGAUCCAGAGUACUGCGGGACACGAGGAAUCCCGUGGGAAGAUGGGGGGACCACCCUCCAAGCCUAAAAACUACCCAAUGACCGAUAGCGAAGAGUACUGUGAAGGAAAGGUGAAAAGCACCCCGGGAGGGGAGUGAAAGAGAACCUGAAACCCUGUGCCUACAAGCACAUAGAGCACGUUAAAGUGUGAUAUGGUACCUAUUGUAGAAUGGUCCGGCGAGUAUAUGUAUGUAGCGAGGUUAAGGACUAAAGGUCUGUAGCCGAAGCGAGAGCGAGUCUGAAUAGGGCGACAUAGUUACAUGUAUAUGACCCGAAACCGGGUGACCUAUCCAUGUCCAGGUUGAAGUCGCGGUAAAACGUGAUGGAGGACCGAACCGACCCCCGUUGAAAAGGUGGCGGAUGAGGUGUGGAUAGCGGAGAAAUUCCAAUCGAACCCGGAUAUAGCUGGUUCUCCCCGAAAUAGCUUUAGGGCUAGCCUUGCGUAAUGAUAGUCGGAGGUAAAGCACUGAAUGGGCUAGGGGCCGAGAGGUUACUGAACCCUAUCAAACUAAGAAUGCCGAAAUAUCAGUAGCAGGAGUCAGACAGUGUGAGAUAAGUCUCAUUGUCAAAAGGAAAAGAGUCCAGACCCACAGCUAAGGUCCCAAAAUAGGUUUAAGUGGAGAAGGAUGUGGAACUGCAAAAACAACCAGGAUGUUGGCUCAGAAGCAGCCAUACAUUUAAAGAGUGCGUAAUAGCUCACUGGUCGAGUGGUUCUGCGCCGAAAAUUAAACGGGGCUAAAAUCUAUACCGAAGCUUGGGAAUUACACGUAAGUGUAAUUGGUAGGGGAGCGUCGUAUACAGGGAGAAGUCAGAGCGAAAGCACUGGUGGACAGUAUACGAGAGAGAAUGCCGGAAUGAGUAGCGAGAAUUAUGUGAGAAUCAUAAUGGCCGAAAGUCUAAGGAUUUAGGAGGAAGGUUCGUCCGCUCCUAGUAAGCCGGGAGCUAAGGUGAGGCCGAAAGGCGUAGCCGAUGCACAUACGGUAGAAAUUCCGUAGCCUCCAAAGGAUUUAAGAUAACUGACACUUACAAAGGGUGUAAGCCAGGCGAUGGUAGACCUGGUCGAAAGGGACCGAAAAUAGUAGGGAAGUACACUUAGAGUGAGGCGAGAAAAGGUUAUUGGUAUAUCCGCGGAGCCCGUACCGCAAACCGACACAGGUAGACAGGAAGAGGAUUCUAAGGCCAACGGGAGAAGGGUUGUUAAGGAACUCGGCAAGUUGACCCCGUAACUUCGGAAUAAGGGGUGCUUAUGAGAAUAAGUCGCAGAGAAUAGGCCCAGGCGACUGUUUAGCAAAAACACAGGUCUCUGCUAAAUCGAAAGAUGACGUAUAGGGGCUGACACCUGCCCGGUGCUGGAAGGUUAAGAGGAGAUGUGCAAGCAUUGAAUUGAAGCCCCAGUAAACGGCGGCCGUAACUAUAACGGUCCUAAGGUAGCGAAAUUCCUUGUCAGGUAAGUUCUGACCCGCACGA